UACGUAGGGUGCAAGCGUUAAUCGGAAUUACUGGGCGUAAAGCGUGCGCAGGCGGUUAUGCAAGACAGAUGUGAAAUCCCCGGGCUCAACCUGGGAACUGCAUUUGUGACUGCAUGGCUGGAGUGCGGCAGAGGGGGAUGGAAUUCCGCGUGUAGCAGUGAAAUGCGUAGAUAUGCGGAGGAACACCGAUGGCGAAGGCAAUCCCCUGGGCCUGCACUGACGCUCAUGCACGAAAGCAUGGGGAGCAAACAGG
Molecule: ribosomal RNA, 253 nt
Filed under: uncultured bacterium
Lineage: Bacteria
Description: partial 16S ribosomal RNA
Rfam family: Bacterial small subunit ribosomal RNA
Source: RNAcentral